AGCGCGGGUAAACGGCGGGAGU
Molecule: non-coding RNA, 22 nt
Filed under: Arabidopsis thaliana (thale cress)
Lineage: Eukaryota; Viridiplantae; Streptophyta; Magnoliopsida; Brassicales; Brassicaceae
Also listed under: 3 other names
Source: RNAcentral